UACGAGGGGGGCGAGCGUUGUUCGGAAUUAUUGGGCGUAAAGGGUGCGUAGGCGGUUUGGUAAGUCUUGUGUGAAAUCUUCGGGCUCAACUCGAAGUCUGCACGAGAAACUGCCGGGCUUGAGUAUGGGAGAGGUGAGUGGAAUUCCCGGUGUAGCGGUGAAAUGCGCAGAUAUCAGGAAGAACACCAAUGGCGAAGGCAGCUCUCUGGGACGGUACUGACGCUGAGACGCGAAAGCGUGGGGAGCAAACAGG
This 253-nucleotide ribosomal RNA is filed under the name uncultured bacterium. RNAcentral's name for it is "partial 16S ribosomal RNA". It matches the Rfam family "Bacterial small subunit ribosomal RNA", at positions 524 to 776 of the family's 1533-position model. The record is from RNAcentral.